UGAUCCUGGCUCAGAUUGAACGCUGGCGGCAGGCCUAACACAUGCAAGUCGAGCGUGAAAGCACUUCGGUGUGAGUAGAGCGGCGGACGGGUGAGUAACGCGUAGAAAUCUACCUAGUAGUGGGGGACAACCUGGUGAAAACCAGGCUAAUACCGCAUACGUCCUACGGGAGAAAGCAGGGGACCUUCGGGCCUUGCGCUAUUAGAUGAGUCCGCGUUGGAUUAGCUAGUUGGUAGGGUAAAAGCUCACCAAGGCAACGACGGGUAACUGGUCUGAGAGGAUGAUCAGUCGCGAUGGAACUGAGACACGGUCCAUACUCCUACGGGAGGCAGCAGUAGGGAAUCUUCCACAAUGGACGAAAGUCUGAUGGAGCAAUACCGCGUGGUCGAUGAAGCCCCUUGGGGUGUAAAGGCCUUUUCUGGGGGAAGAAUUUUGACGGUACCCUAGGAAUAAGCACCGGCUAACUCCGUGCCAGCAGCCGCGGUAAUACAGAGGGUGCAAGCGUUAUCCGGAAUAAUUGGGCGUAAAGCGUCCGCAGGUGGUUUAUUAAGUCAGAUAUUAAAGACAAAGGCUCAACCUUUGCAGCGUAUCCGAAACUAGUAAACUAGAGAGCAGUAGAGGUGUGUGGAAUUCUGCAUGUAGGAGUAAAAUCCGUUGAUAUGCAGAGGAACACCAAAAGCGAAAGCAGCACACUGGACUGUUUCUGACACUCAUGGACGAAAGCGUGGGGAGCGAACGGGAUUAGAUACCCCGGUAGUCCACGCCGUAAACGAUGGAUACUCGGUGUUGGGUUGGUUUAUCGACUCAGUGCCUAAGCUAACGCGUUAAGUAUCCCGCCUGGGGAGUACGGUCGCAAGAUUAAAACUCAAAGGAAUAGACGGGGACCCACACAAGCGGUGGAGCAUCUGGUUUAAUUCGAUAAUAAGCGAGGAACCUUACCUGGACUUGACAUCCCAAAGAAUCUUUCAGAAAUGAGAGAGUGCCUUCUGGAACUUUGGUGACAGGUGCUGCAUGGUUGUCGUCAGCUCGUGCCUUGAGGUGUUCGGUUAAGUCCGUAAACGAGCGCAACCCACGUCAUGCGUUGUAUUUUUCACAUGAGACUGCCGGCUACAAGUCGGAGGAAGGUGUGGAUGACGUCAAAUCAGCAUGGCCCUUAUGUCCAGGGCUACACAGGUGCUACAAUGGCCAGUACAACGGGCAGCGAAACGGUAACGUGGAGCAAAUCCUUCAAAACUGGUCUAAGUUCGGAUAGAGGGCUGAAACUCGCCCUCUUGAAGCUGGAAUCGCUAGUAAACGUGCAUCAGCAAUGGCGCGUUGAAUAUGUUCCUGGGUCUUGUACUCACCGCCCGUCAAGUCACGAAAGAUGGGGGCGCCCGAAGUCCUUCGGUACAGGAGGCCUAAGGUGAAACCAUUGAUUGGGACUAAGUCGUAACAAGGUAACC
RNAcentral lists this ribosomal RNA (1442 nucleotides) under uncultured marine bacterium. Its description in RNAcentral is "bacterial SSU rRNA". It matches the Rfam family "Bacterial small subunit ribosomal RNA". The record is from RNAcentral.